RNAcentral lists this unclassified non-coding RNA (353 nucleotides) under uncultured fungus. RNAcentral describes it as "sequence contains ITS1". The stretch from base 1 to 104 matches the Rfam family "5.8S ribosomal RNA", at positions 50 to 154 of the family's 154-position model. Lineage: Eukaryota; Fungi. The record is from RNAcentral.
AAAGUGCGAUAACUAGUGUGAAUUGCAUAUCUGCUUGUGACUCAUCGAGUUUUUGAACGUAGAAUGCCCGGGGGCAACCGUCGGGCACGCCAGGAUGAGUGACACUAUUUUUCCACAUUGCACCUAGGCACGGGCGAGAGCGCGUGGCCCAUGGAGCAGAGCUGACAUCGUAUGUUUACGUACUUUGUUCAAAUAACACACCCCCACUUGCCGCUUGAGCUGCGAGGACUUCCGAGUGAAACAACCCGAGCAGCCCACUUCGGCAGUGGUAAAUCACCCCCGCCCAGCCUGCCAAUGGGCAAUUUAGACUGAAACGUGUCCUCAUCUCUGACGGGACUACCCGCUGAACUUAA